GGGCAGACGAGCCACGGUCCCCAAGGUGACCACGGUCACCUGCAGGUCUCUGCCGUGGCCACGCUUCCUCCAUACGCACCGUGGUACCAUCCUCUCCAAGAAAGAGACCGCCUACAACUCACCGUAGGAGAAACGCACACGCAUGGGCAGUUACCGUUAUGUACAAUAAGUUUAAAACUUAAUCUGUGAUCAGGAUUCAUGAAUUAAAUCCGUUGCUCUGCAAAUUGCCUUUCAAAGUAACUGUGGGAAAACCAGGCUGUGAAUAGAUGACUCAUUUUAUUGAUGUUAAAUUGAAUAUACUUCAUUGAAGACAGUGGACCAGGCACUGACCUGGUGGGAGAACCUUCCACAUGUGGAGAUCUGGAUUCAACUGUCGAUAGCAGCGGAGUGAGGUCCGUGUAUAAAGUAGAACAUAAGUCCUGGUGUUUAAGGUUGAAGAUCUGGAAGUUGUGCUGGAAAAAAAUGGAAAUCUUAUCAAAAGCAUCCGAAUAUUCAGCUUGACAUGGAGAUGAGAUUCCUCAAUAUAAAUGUUUCUCUCCCGAUUUAUGAUGUCGUGGCCAGCUGCUGCAUGGAGGAUUUUCUUGUUUCUUAUUUUUUCUUUUUUUAGAGGGCUUUUGUUUUGGGGUUUUUUGGGGUUUGUGUUUUGCUUGUGUAUGGGUUUUUGUUUUUUUUGUUUCUUUUUUUAACGGAGUGACUGAAGCAGCUGCUGUCUAGCUGGGAAGAAAAUGGAUAACUCCUCCCUGCAGCCAUCAGGGCGCUUGCACUGCAGUCAUUGAUUUCCUUCCCUGCCAGGCGGUGCCUGCUCCGCGCUCUCUGCAGAAGGCAGCCUGCAUCCUUGACGGACUUCAUUAUCGGGGCAGUCGUGCAGAGACUCCGCCGAUAGACUGUAAUGGCAUUAUUCUGGAAAGGGUAGUGUUUGAUGGAGCCACUUGGUUUAGAGACCCUGAAGACCACUUCUGUUGUUCCCUUGCAGUGGCGGCGUUGGAGGGAGGCGAAGAAGCUGCCUCGCUAAUGGGAAGGUUUCUGCCGCUUUCAGGAUGGAGCCUUCGGAUGCUUUUCUUCUCUUUCUAAUUUUUCUCGCGUACUUAUCAAGAAGUCAAGAAGCUGGUUGCAGCUGUGGCUGUGGAAACUGAGCUGCAAAGCUUAGAUGAGCUCUUUUAAAAACAUGCCUUUUGAUUUGGACAUAAAGGAGCGGAUUCUGAUAGAUACUUGACCCCACAGGAUCCAAAUAGCCCUGGUUAUUGCUCUUGUUCUGGCAACACGCAAUUGACACUAAAACCAUUAAAUUCUUAAAUCCCAAAUCCGUAUUUGCUUGAAAAAAAAAAUUACAUGCUUUGAUUUUUGUCAUGAAACGGAAGUAAUUAAAAAACACUGCCAUUUUGACUUAAUUUGACCUCAGCAGAACCAAAUGCUUUGCAGUUAUCUUGUGAAUAUUUUGACAUAACACGUUGCUGCAAGGUGCUUUUACGGAGUCAGGGCAGCGCGUUUUGAUACACAGAAAAAGGUUUUGUAGGAGUGUUUUUGACGAGCUGAAUUUUCGUCUGGGUGAUUCGGUGUGUAAAUAUUGGCAUGAAGACCUCCUUUUGCAUGCCUGAACUGAACCAACCUCCUAGCGCCGUGGAAAGACAUGGAAAAUGUUCUGUGAAUAAAAAUUUUUGGCAGGCUCCUUUAGAAACAAGGUGUGCAGAUGGAAUACAAGGCAUUAAAUCCUUGGAGUGUUAAAAAAAAAAAAAAAUAGUUGUUUUUCAAGGGAAUGAUUUUUCUAAAAUGCAAGAGGGAAUUUGAUGCCUUAUUUCAUUCUCCUUCAGUUGUGCAUCAAAACCUUUUGCAGCUCUGUUUAUUUCUUAAGAAUAAAAAUGAAUAAUGUGUUCAAAUACCAGAUGGGGACAUAAAGUAUACUAUUAAUUAGAAACAUCUGUAUUAAUUGAAUAAUAUCAAUGAUUAAUAACUGUCCGGCUUUGAAAAAUAGAAUUCCUAUUCCAGCUCAUUGAUUUUUGCAUUGUUUUGUUUUUAAAUACCUACCUUGUAUCAGUUAAAAUUAAAAUUAACGUUGUCAUUAUUAACUUCUAGCUAUUAGAGCUGAUGGUAACGCUUGUUUUUUAUAUUCCUUGAAAAUACUUCAGGCAUAGUUGCUGUCUAGACACUAUCAUUUUCUAUUCAAUCCCAAACUGUUCCCAGUGUGGUUUCUGGUUGUAACAUCACGGUGGGAGAAGUACCAUGAAAUGAAACAGAAUGCUAUCUAUAGGAUCUUUGUCAUAGGAGAAUUCACUUAGACUGGCAAACACGGUUCAGAUUUUCCUCUAAAUUAAGUUUUGUGUGUUACUUGUUUACGAUCAGAGAGCUACAAGAUGUCCGACAUUGCCAGGAUUCAAAGCAUUCAGGUUCUUUUGGUUUUUAGAGGGGAAAAGACAAAUUAAAAAAAAAAAAAUCUCGACGCAAUCAAUCUGCCGAAACAUUGUGACGAGUGCUUACCAUGCUAAUCGAUAUUACUUCGGUCUGUCUUUUUAUGUGCUCUGAACUCUCUUGUCCUUGAGUGUAAGCUUGCCGAGGAGGGGACUCCUUCACUUCUGCGUUGGCAUCCCGGCCACCGCUGGGCUCCAUUAGCCUCGAAGGAAGCCAGUAACGCACCCCGAGGAAAAAAAAAUAAUCUGCAAACAGAGUUUUGAGCUGUGCCAGCAACAAAGUCUGGCUCUUGGGGGGGUUGGGAGAGUUGGGUGUCUUGUUUUGGUGGUUUGCGUUUGGUUGGGUUUUUAAAUAACGUGUGGCCAUCGCUGAACGUCGUGGUGCUUUGCCGCAUCAACGGGGGCUUGAAGGAGUGGAAGGAAGGAAUGAAGAAGGGAGGAGGGGGCAGGUUGCUCCUACUUGGUUUCAGACUGUGCCUAGAUUCUUACCGUUGUACCUUAAAUCCGCUGAGUCCAUGGAGAGGAGUAGGUGCUUUCAGAGGUUAGUUUAACCUUGAACUGGGCUUCCUGGUUCUCUGCAGCUGUUUGUGUCUUCUCUAGUUUAGGCCUCAUUCCAACUAAUGGAGAAGUUUGUGGUGACAAAGCAGAAUUUUGAGAGUUUAAGACACAUGGCUUCAAAUCCCACCUCGGGGCAAUAAGGAUCAUGCUGUGCUCUACCUGGGACAUGCUGUGGCCAUCGGGACAGCCUCGGCACUUGGGGACAAGCAGGAUCAAGUGUCCCUUGGCUCUUGAGACGGAAGUUGGUCCUAGAACACUGUAAAAACACACAAAGAAAUUUCUCUGAUUUAUUUGAAUUGUGAAUAGGUCGGAAUUUAAGCAUCCCUUUAAACAUACAAACAAGCAAGAAAACAAGCAGAGCCCAAUUUCAGGUAGAUUUAACGUGCCUGUGGACAAGUGAAUUUUUAAUAGCUAAUCUUACCCUGACAGCUCAUGGGAAAUAUCAAUCUAUUAGGCAGGAUUCGAGUGUUGAAUUUUUAAUGCGCUUUUAGUGAUUAAAGUGCUCUCUUUCUCCACUGCUUGAAAGAGAACACAGUGGCUUUAAGGAACAGUUUAAAGCCAUAACAACAAUGGAGAAUUAAUAAUUGUAGUUGACCAUAUUUCUCUCCGGGAGAGAAGGGCUGUGCCUAUUUGCAUACAAGUGUUGCGUUUGGGACAUUAGAGACAAAAGGAAAUCACUCAUUUUGAGAGUAGCAAAUGAGCCAGAUCCGCUUGAAAAGGAUCCUGUGAUUUUGUUGUCUCCGUUAGCAAGUGAUGGGGGACCGACCGUUGUGGGCCUCUGGUGAGGGGAAGUGAGGCCUGAAGAACAGAAACGAGCAUAACACUAAGGAUUUCAGCCAAGGAUUUAGGCUUGGCAUUCAGCUGGGGAUUGUUCGUGCAAACGGACACGUGAGGACAGAAUCUCAACGUUGUUGAGGUGAAGAUGUGCUGGGCCAUGGAUGUUAGCGAAACCAGAAUUUACAGGGAGAUUGCCCAAAUCUGCAGAGGUAGCUGAUUCCUUGCUGUUCUUGCAGCUGGAGCAGAAAGGCGUCACAGCGUGAAGGGUGUUAGAUCCCUCUGUAAGAGGAAAGAUAAUACUUCACCUUCCUGUUAGGGAGGGAAGGGGG
This is a long non-coding RNA of Chroicocephalus ridibundus (black-headed gull), 4066 nucleotides long. RefSeq lists it as uncharacterized. NCBI's taxonomy places the organism in Eukaryota, Metazoa, Chordata, Aves, Charadriiformes, Laridae. The record is from RefSeq and is a predicted model, not a curated record. The transcript has 2 exons.